GACAGAGGUGCCGAGCGUUAGGCGGAAUCACUGGGCUUAAAGCGUGUGUAGGCGGCGGCGUAAGUACCUUGUGAAAUCCCACGCUCAACCGUGGAACUGCUCGGUAUACUGCAUCGCUUGAGCCAGCUAGGGGCGACCGGAACAAACGGUGGAGCGGUGAAAUGCGUAGAUAUCGUUUGGAACGCCGAUGGUGAAAACAGGUCGCUGGGGCUGUGCUGACGCUGAGACACGAAAGCCAGGGGAGCGAACGGG
This 252-nucleotide ribosomal RNA is filed under the name uncultured bacterium. RNAcentral's name for it is "partial 16S ribosomal RNA". It matches the Rfam family "Bacterial small subunit ribosomal RNA", at positions 524 to 776 of the family's 1533-position model. The record is from RNAcentral.